This 465-nucleotide ribosomal RNA is filed under the name uncultured bacterium. RNAcentral describes it as "partial 16S ribosomal RNA". It matches the Rfam family "Bacterial small subunit ribosomal RNA", at positions 28 to 507 of the family's 1533-position model. The record is from RNAcentral.
GACGAACGCUGGCGGCGUGCUUAACACAUGCCAGUCGUACGGUAAGGCCCUUUCGGGGGUACACGAGUGGCGAACGGGUGAGUAACACGUGAGUAACCUGCCCACAACUUUGGGAUAACGCUAGGAAACUGGUGCUAAUACUGGAUAUGUGCUCCUGCUGCAUGGUGGGGGUUGGAAAGCUCCGGCGGUUGUGGAUGGAGUCGCGGCCUAUCAGCUUGUUGGUGGGGUAGUGGCCUACCAAGGCGGCGACGGGUAGCCGGCCUGAGAGGGUGACCGGCCACAUUGGGACUGAGAUACGGCCCAGACUCCUACGGGAGGCAGCAGUGGGGAAUAUUGCACAAUGGGCGCAAGCCUGAUGCAGCAACGCCGCGUGCGGGAUGACGGCCUUCGGGUUGUAAACCGCUUUCAGCAGGGACGAAGCUUUUUGUGACGGUACCUGCAGAAGAAGCACCGGCUAACUACGUG